RNAcentral lists this long non-coding RNA (260 nucleotides) under Salvia miltiorrhiza (redroot sage). RNAcentral's name for it is "long non-coding RNA (SMIL_LNC008501)". The record is from RNAcentral. Lineage: Eukaryota; Viridiplantae; Streptophyta; Magnoliopsida; Lamiales; Lamiaceae.
UUGUGAAAAGUAAGUAAUUAUAAGUGGUGGGUAUAGUCCAAAAAUAGGUAGGAAGUUUUUUUGUAGACGUCCUAAAAUGGAAAGAUAAGAAGUUCUUUCGUGGACUGAGGGAGUAUUUUUUUAUUUUUUAUUUUAUUUCUUUCUAAAUCAUGAAAUUCGACUAAUUAUAAAAUAUUUAAUAUACAUAUCAAAUUAAAGAUCAUAUUUUAUGUAAAUAUUUGAUUUAAAAUAUAAAAACUAUAUUUAUUUAAUGAUUUUUU